This is a non-coding RNA of Triticum aestivum (bread wheat), 135 nucleotides long. The record is from Rfam. Lineage: Eukaryota; Viridiplantae; Streptophyta; Magnoliopsida; Poales; Poaceae.
CACCUACUCCCUCAGUUCCAAAUUACUUGACCCAUAUUUAUCUAGACAUAGAUGUAUCUAGACACUAAACAAGUAUAGAUACAUCCGUAUUUAGACAAAUUCAAGUCAACUAAUUUGGAACGGAGGGAGUAACAC